Molecule: ribosomal RNA, 164 nt
Filed under: uncultured bacterium
Lineage: Bacteria
Description: partial 16S rRNA
Rfam family: Bacterial small subunit ribosomal RNA
Source: RNAcentral
UAGGGAAUCUUCCACAAUGGACGAAAGUCUGGUGGAGCAACGCCGCGUGAGUGAAGAAGGGUUUCGGCUCGUAAAACUCUGUUGUUAAAGAAGAACAUAUCUGAGAGUAACUGUUCAGGUAUUGACGGUAUUUAACCAGAAAGCCACGGCUAACUACGUGCCAC